UGUAAGACACUCUACUGAGAUGUUGGGAAUACAUACAGAAAUAAUCAUUGCCACCUAGGAAAUUGAAGGCAAACUGAAACAGUGAAGACCCUCCAAAAGCCCAUCUCACCUUAGAAACGUGAAGCCUAUGCUCAGGUAUAAGUCAAAAGUAGAAGAUCGCUCCAGAUAUCACAUCUUGGUAAAUCCCAUUGCACCUGCACUGGUGCUUCCUGCCUUCAUUUUCUAACAUGACCUGGCCAUGGUCCUCUCCUCCAGCAUCAAUUCGGAAAGAAAGAGCUCCCAGAUUACAGCAUGGAGAAUGCAUGUGAAGCAGCCAAGCACUCCUAUAAUGUCAUGAAUUAUACACUAUUUAAUGUACCAGAAUGCAAGAUGGCAAUGGCCUAUCCUGGAGGACAAUAAGGAUGGAGAGAAAUGAACUAAUUCUAGAGGCAUUUAGAAGGUAGAAUUCUUGAGACUUUGUGAUUAAUAUUAUGUGAUGAACCAGCAAGAGGAAUCAAGAAUGAUGCCAACAUGUGAAGCUUGGUCAGCUGAAUAGGAGACAGCAUAAUUUACCAGAGUAAGAAAUGAGGCCAUGGGUGGUGGCUCACACCUGUAA
RNAcentral lists this long non-coding RNA (595 nucleotides) under Homo sapiens (human). Its description in RNAcentral is "HSALNT0087548". Lineage: Eukaryota; Metazoa; Chordata; Mammalia; Primates; Hominidae. The record is from RNAcentral.